UUAUCUUCAGGACGGUAUUUGUGUCAAUAUGGAUAUUUCAAACAUAUUGCACUUAUACCGGCCUGAUGAUCU
Molecule: non-coding RNA, 72 nt
Organism: Drosophila ananassae
Lineage: Eukaryota; Metazoa; Arthropoda; Insecta; Diptera; Drosophilidae
Source: Rfam